CAAACCGGAUUGCCCUGAUACCAAAAAGCUAGCCCCACCCCCAAAGAGCAACCACCCACUAUUAAUACCCACAAAU
This 76-nucleotide transfer RNA is filed under the name Pronotogrammus multifasciatus (threadfin bass). Its description in RNAcentral is "tRNA-Val". The record is from RNAcentral. Lineage: Eukaryota; Metazoa; Chordata; Actinopteri; Perciformes; Anthiadidae.